Molecule: long non-coding RNA, 1316 nt
Filed under: Vigna radiata
Lineage: Eukaryota; Viridiplantae; Streptophyta; Magnoliopsida; Fabales; Fabaceae
Description: long non-coding RNA (VRAD_LNC008339)
Source: RNAcentral
UGAGAGUCAAAAGCUGUUUUUAGAGAUAUUAUGCUUGUUUUGCAUUGUUUUGCAACAUUUUUAAUGAAAAUAAAGAAUGGGAUUGAAGAUGGAAGGUCUUAGACUCAAGAAAGAAGAAGAAACAUGAAGAAAAGAAGAGUCUAGGAACCGCCCAACGCCAAAAUCCAACGUUGGGCGGCCAAAUGCGAGGAGAAGCAAUAAAUAGCCCUAGUGUGACUUCAGAUGUAUUCUUUUGACAGAAAGGGGCGGCCAUACCUAGUUUCACUCCUUGGAGAAGAUUUCUUGGAUGCUUAGGCUCCUUUUUAUCCAAUCUAGGGUUUGUUUUUCCAUUCUUCCAUUAUUUUUCAUCUAGUUUCACCAUGACAAUGGUGAACUAAACCCUUUUGUUGUUGGGGAACAAUGUAAUCUUUUGAAACACUCUUUUAUUGAAACUCUUAUUUAUUUAUAUGCUUGUCGUAUGCUUUGAUUAUCAAUUGUUGGGUUUUUCAACUGUGCUUAAUGCUUUUAUCGUUUAAUUCAUUCGAUAAUUGUUGUUUGUCUUUAUUGAUACGAGAACGUACGGUGUUGUCAUGAACUAGUGGGAAAUUCCUUGAUUAAGCAAUAUCACCUAGGGAUUGGGGACUAGGACGAUCAAUUUUUUUUGCUUCCGUUUAUCAUGCAUUAUUAAUUACUAGGGGAUGUUAGGGAUAGCAAGCCAGUAAUUAGUAAUAGACUCUUUUCGCCGAGGGAUCGGGUUAAGGGUAGACUAAGAAAGUUUGCAUGACAAUUAGAUAACAAAACGAAUCAAAUAAGAAGAGUAGAUAAAAGAGAAUGGAUAAGAUGAAAUUGUCAACCCCAACAACUCCAUUCAUCCAUAGUCUUUUUCUUGUCAAUUGAAUAAAUCACAUUUGCAUGUUUACUUGUUGUUUCUUGCAUCCAAACCAAUUAAUUUCUCUUUACAAGUCUUACGAUUUCAAUUUGCACGAACGAUAAGGCCUCCGAGUUCUUUGGGAAGAACGAUAUUGGGUUUACCAAUUAUAUUACUUGAAACGAUCUGGUACACUUGCCAGAGUGUUAACACCAACACCCUCUUCUUUUCUUUUCUUCCAUUCUCUACUAUUCUCUUCUCUCCCCAAUGACCCUGAUAAGCUCUUGUUUCUUUAUCAUUCUUUUCCUUCUUGGUUUUACAGAAUCAUAGCCUUUCACACACCCCUUUAACCACACUGACUUACAAUCUGCAAUACGUGACAUGCGAGGAAAAUCUUACAACGGAUUCACAAUGCUUUUGCAGAUGCUCACUGGAACAACAACAUAACCAAAUGGGGAAUUCACUUUCU